CUAAGUCGAGAAUUAGGCAAUCACUCCCAUUGAAGGUAGCAGGCUCACAGUGCCAUUCAUUGGUACUGUUCAUCUCGUUUCCAAAGUUUCAAUUCACACCAUUGAAGGCUCCAAGACUUAGUUAUCUUCGUACCUUUUCUAUUCAAGGCAAGUGAUAAUAGCUAAUUGAAAUUUCAUUUAACCUAAUCGAUUCCAAGCUAUUUCGUCUCUCCGAUUUAAGUUGCUAAAUAUUUUCUCUACUCUCGGUUAAUCUUCCACAGGUGCCAGGAGGCGGAAUACCCUCAUCUAAUUGUCAAUUUUAUCAAAGCUUCUUGCUUAAGUCUGUCUACCCAAACCAAGUAUGACCCUGUACCUUUUUUUUCUUUCUGAAAUUACUCUUCUACUUGAUAUAAUUCAGUAGAUUUUUGCUUCAGAGCAUAGCUAAUUGAUUCAAAGUUGUUUGUUUGAUGAUUUACCAUGCGUAUACAUGUUAAACAUGAUCAUAUUUGAAAGAAAGGU
Molecule: long non-coding RNA, 498 nt
Filed under: Lactuca sativa (garden lettuce)
Lineage: Eukaryota; Viridiplantae; Streptophyta; Magnoliopsida; Asterales; Asteraceae
Description: long non-coding RNA (LSAT_LNC002239)
Source: RNAcentral